GUGAACGGGUUAACGUCCAUUUUGGCCGGGGGACCAAGGCGGGGGGAAAGGAGCGUUGGUUUGGCGGCGUGUUAUAACCCCUUGUUGUUUGCCCCGGCUGGGAUUGAAGAACGCCGCCCGCCCUUUUUUGUGGCCGGGGGUUCGCUUUACCUUCCCGGCUUAAGACGGUGGCCUUAAUGCUUUAAACGAACCGUCCUGGAACCCGGACCCAGGAGUUUUACCAGCCUGCGAAUUUUUGGGUGGAAAACCCCUGCGCCUUAAGAAGGUGAAAAGUUUGGAGCCCCUCGAGGGGGGGGUGCACUGACGCCCGGCCCUGAAGUUCUCUGACGGCGCUGCGGCAGAGCAAGCAUGUUGGGACCCGAAAGAUGGUGAACUAUGCCUGAAUAGGGCGAAGCCAGAGGAAACUCUGGUGGAGGCUCGUAGCGAUUCUGACGUGCAAAUCGAUCGUCAA
Molecule: ribosomal RNA, 451 nt
Filed under: Fulvifomes sp. SP-2012c
Lineage: Eukaryota; Fungi; Basidiomycota; Agaricomycetes; Hymenochaetales; Hymenochaetaceae
Description: partial 28S ribosomal RNA
Rfam family: Eukaryotic large subunit ribosomal RNA
Source: RNAcentral